AAGGAGGACUAUGUGUUAAUAAUGCUUUUACCAAUUUGAGGUCAAUGGUAGUCUAGUUCAAUCAUGUAUUCGGGAUGUCGUUAGUUUCUUUUUUCCGGAUUGUUGUUUCGAAGUGUUUUUAUUGAUUUCCGUUUCUCUUAUGAAUCACUAUGAGUCUUACUUAUGCAUUUUAUUUCUUUGCAUGUGAAAUCUAUCCUAAUUCACCAUGGACUCCAUUUUACUUCACCGCAUUUCGAGAGAGCCAUAAAGGCUCAAAUUCCUUCUUUCUGAGUCAGCCAGCUAUUAAAUCGACGUACAUGUCCC
Molecule: long non-coding RNA, 303 nt
Filed under: Solanum tuberosum (potato)
Lineage: Eukaryota; Viridiplantae; Streptophyta; Magnoliopsida; Solanales; Solanaceae
Description: long non-coding RNA (STUB_LNC002823)
Source: RNAcentral